UUCGGCCAUACCAUGUUGAAAAUACCGGUUCCUAUCAUAGUACCGAAGUGAAGCAACGAUGGUUAUGAUUAGAAAUUAGAUGGGUGUUCGCUUGGGAACACCACGUAU
This is a non-coding RNA of Biomphalaria pfeifferi, 108 nucleotides long. Lineage: Eukaryota; Metazoa; Mollusca; Gastropoda; Planorbidae. The record is from the annotation of a GenBank genome assembly.